UUUCAGAAGUCAAAGAAAGGUUCAAGUAGAACUAUUGAGAUCUCGCCACCCUCUGUUCCGGCCUUUCCAGUAAUCCAUCCAAGGCAGCAACUCAGUUACACUGAGCCACCUGCAUAUAACACAAACAGCCUACCAGUAUCAACAAAGCCAU
Long non-coding RNA from Haliotis rubra (blacklip abalone), 151 nucleotides. RefSeq lists it as uncharacterized. Lineage: Eukaryota; Metazoa; Mollusca; Gastropoda; Lepetellida; Haliotidae. The record is from RefSeq and is a predicted model, not a curated record. The transcript is spliced from 3 exons.